UCAUUCAUACGUGAAACUAUCUCUGUUAAAGCAUCAUGUAAUACUUAGACCCAAGAAAAAGGUAUCAUGUAGUACGUAUAAUGUAUUAAGUUGCUUACUUUGGCCCGAAAACGAAUGAAAAUUAGAAGGCAUCGCUGGCAGCAUAUAUUUACACUCUUUCAUGUAGUACGUAUAAUGUAUUAAGUUGCUUACUUUGGCCCGAAAACGAAUGAAAAUUAGAAGGCAUCGCUGGCAGCAUAUAUUUACGCUCUUUCAUUUGAUAUUAUGGAAAAUAUUACUCGGAAAUAAAGUGUUUUUG
This 298-nucleotide long non-coding RNA is filed under the name Cicer arietinum (chickpea). RNAcentral's name for it is "long non-coding RNA (CARI_LNC000977)". Lineage: Eukaryota; Viridiplantae; Streptophyta; Magnoliopsida; Fabales; Fabaceae. The record is from RNAcentral.